UAUAGGUAAGCAACUUGAAGAAAAUUUUAAAAGGAAUAAUGGAUUAUAACCAUGAGAUUCUAGGGCAACAGAUUAAUGACUUCACUCUUCCUGAUGUUAACCUGAUUGGAGAGCACUCUGAUGCUGCAGAGCUUGGGAGAAUGCUUCAGCUUAUUUUGGGAUGUGCUGUGAAUUGUGAACAGAAGCAAGGUAUUAAAUUUUGAAAGUAUGUUUUGCUUCUAGGGUAGUUAAUGAAAAUCUAACUUACUUUUUAAAUCACUGAGGGAAAAUGAUACGCUGCUAUGAGACACAAGUUUACUUUUUCUAAAUCAUAAUACUACUUUAUUUUACAGGCAAUAAGUGAUGUUAUAUUAUGAGCUUUACUAAGCGUACAGGCUGGAAAUGUGGAAUUGGUUUUGCUUUCAAUAUGCAUAUUUUUAGUUUGGGUUCCCUGAGCUGAAAAGGGAAUUCACAAAUGAAAAGUCUCGCCCCCAACCUUUAACUAUUCAUGUGUGAGGUAGCUCUGUGAAGUGAAGAAUCAACAAAUGUAAUUUACACAUCCUUCGCUGUGACCCUUGCAUUCAGGAAUGUAUCCCAGUAUCUUAAUGCAUGUCAGAGAGCCUUCAUUGUCACCACAUGCCAUCUACUGACAAUUGAGACACUAGGGUUUCUGAGACUUCUGCACAGGGUUAGCACUGGAGUAUGGGAGAUAGUGCACUUCUGCACCAGUAGCUGGAGUCCAGGCAGGAUAUCCCAAGGACAUCUAAACUCUCACUAGAGGCCUAUAUUUAAGCUACUAAAUACCACCUCAGCAGUUAGUGGAAAACACUUCUGUCUCCUCUGGCUUCUGUGGUGCCAGUUCCUUACCUGACCUACAAAGUAAAAUGGGGACCCAUUCUGUUUCUCGCCAUAUAUGGCAGAGUAUUUGCUAAAUGGUAAAAGCAUUUCUUAAGGUGUUCCAGGGCCCUUGUCACAUCCUUGGGUGUGUGAUGUCUUAUUGCUAUCCAGUUCCCUUAAAUUAUGUUUAACUCCAGUUGAAUUCAGGUAAAAAUACAAAAAGUAAUUCAUAACACUUAAAAUCACAGAAUCGCAGAAUGGUUGAGGUUGGAAGGGACCUCCGGAGGUCAUAAAGUCCAAUGUCCCUGAUCAAGCAGGGCCACCUAGAGAUGGUUCCCAGGAUCAUGUGCAGAUGGCUUUUGAACAUCCCCAUGUAUGGAGAUUACACAACCUCUCGGGGCAACCUGUUUCAGUGCUCAGUCACCCUCACAGUAAAAAAGGGUUUCCUGAUGUUCAGAUGGAACCUCCUGU
Falco peregrinus (peregrine falcon) is the source of this 1287-nucleotide long non-coding RNA. RefSeq lists it as uncharacterized. Lineage: Eukaryota; Metazoa; Chordata; Aves; Falconiformes; Falconidae. The record is from RefSeq and is a predicted model, not a curated record. The transcript has 2 exons.